GACGAACGCUGGCGGCGUGCUUAACACAUGCAAGUCGAACGGUAAGGCCCUUCGGGGUACACGAGUGGCGAACGGGUGAGUAACACGUGGGUGAUCUGCCCUGCACUUCGGGAUAAGCCUGGGAAACUGGGUCUAAUACCGGAUAGGACCACUGCCUGCAUGGGUGGUGGUGGAAAGCUUUUGCGGCGUGGGAUGGGCCCGCGGCCUAUCAGCUUGUUGGUGGGGUGAUGGCCUACCAAGGCGACGACGGGUAGCGGGCCGGGGAGGGUGACCGGCCACACUGGGACUGGGAUACGGCCCAGACGCCUACGGGAGGAAGCAGUGGGGAAUAUUGCACAAUGGGCGCAAGCCUGAUUCAGCGACGCCGCGUGAGGGAUGACGGCCUUCGGGUUGUAAACCUCUUUCAGCACCGACGAAGCGCAAGUGACGGUAGGUGCAGAAGAAGGACCGGCCAACUACGUGCCAGCAGCCGCAGUAA
RNAcentral lists this ribosomal RNA (478 nucleotides) under uncultured bacterium. RNAcentral's name for it is "partial 16S ribosomal RNA". It matches the Rfam family "Bacterial small subunit ribosomal RNA", at positions 28 to 523 of the family's 1533-position model. The record is from RNAcentral.